GGGUCAGUGGGUUGGUCGUGCCACCGGUACGUACUGGUCUCACUGAUUCCUCCUUCCUGAAGAACCGUAAUGCCAUUAAUUUGGUGUUGCGGGGGAACAGGACUGUUACUUUGAAAAAAUUAGAGUGUUUAAAGCAAGCUAACGCUUGAAUACAUUAGCAUGGAAUAAUGAAAUAGGACGAUCGAUCCUAUUUUGUUGGUUUCUAGGAUUGACGUA
RNAcentral lists this ribosomal RNA (216 nucleotides) under Glomeromycotina sp. RNAcentral describes it as "partial small subunit ribosomal RNA". The stretch from base 40 to 216 matches the Rfam family "Eukaryotic small subunit ribosomal RNA", at positions 686 to 864 of the family's 1831-position model. Lineage: Eukaryota; Fungi; Glomeromycota. The record is from RNAcentral.